UACGAAGGGGGCUAGCGUUGCUCGGAAUCACUGGGCGUAAAGCGCACGUAGGCGGAUCUUUAAGUCAGGGGUGAAAUCCUGGAGCUCAACUCCAGAACUGCCUUUGAUACUGGGGAUCUCGAGUCCGGAAGAGGUGAGUGGAACUCCGAGUGUAGAGGUGAAAUUCGUAGAUAUUCGGAAGAACACCAGUGGCGAAGGCGGCUCACUGGUCCGGUACUGACGCUGAGGUGCGAAAGCGUGGGGAG
Molecule: ribosomal RNA, 245 nt
Filed under: uncultured bacterium
Lineage: Bacteria
Description: partial 16S ribosomal RNA
Rfam family: Bacterial small subunit ribosomal RNA
Source: RNAcentral